This 305-nucleotide ribosomal RNA is filed under the name uncultured bacterium. Its description in RNAcentral is "bacterial SSU rRNA". It matches the Rfam family "Bacterial small subunit ribosomal RNA", at positions 337 to 658 of the family's 1533-position model. The record is from RNAcentral.
GCCUACGGGACGCAGCAGUGGGGAAUAUUGCACAAUGGGGGAAACCCUGAUGCAGCGACGCCGCGUGAGCGAGGAAGUAUUUCGGUAUGUAAAGCUCUGUCAGCAGGGAAGAAGAAUGACGGUACCUGAAGAAGAAGCACCGGCUAAAUACGUGCCAGCAGCCGCGGUAAUACGUAUGGUGCAAGCGUUAUCCGGAUUUACUGGGUGUAAAGGGAGCGUAGACGGUUCUGCAAGUCUGAAGUGAAAGCCCGUGGCUUAACCGCGGAACGGCUUUGGAAACUGUGGAACUGGAGUGCUGGAGAGGG